Molecule: ribosomal RNA, 120 nt
Organism: Vulpes vulpes (red fox)
Lineage: Eukaryota; Metazoa; Chordata; Mammalia; Carnivora; Canidae
Source: Ensembl
GUCUAAAACCAUACCACCCUACAGUCAGUCACUCAAUCUUGGCUCAUCUCGGAACCUAAGCAAGGUCGGGCUUGGGGAGUACUUGGAUGGGAGAAAAUGGGAGACUAGGGAGCCUGGGCC